Molecule: ribosomal RNA, 497 nt
Filed under: uncultured bacterium
Lineage: Bacteria
Description: partial 16S ribosomal RNA
Rfam family: Bacterial small subunit ribosomal RNA
Source: RNAcentral
GAUGAACGCUGGCGGCGUGCCUAAUACAUGCAAGUCGAGCGAACGGACGAGAAGCUUGCUUCUCUGAUGUUAGCGGCGGACGGGUGAGUAACACGUGGAUAACCUACCUAUAAGACUGGGAUAACUUCGGGAAACCGGAGCUAAUACCGGAUAAUAUUUUGAACCGCAUGGUUCAAAAGUGAAAGACGGUCUUGCUGUCACUUAUAGAUGGAUCCGCGCUGCAUUAGCUAGUUGGUAAGGUAACGGCUUACCAAGGCAACGAUGCAUAGCCGACCUGAGAGGGGGAUCGGCCACACUGGAACUGAGCAACGGUCCAGACUCCUACGGGAGGAAGCAGUAGGGAAUCUUCCGCAAUGGGCGAAAGCCUGACGGAGCAACGCCGCGUGAGUGAUGAAGGUCUUCGGAUCGUAAAACUCUGUUAUUAGGGAAGAACAUAUGUGUAAGUAACUGUGCACAUCUUGACGGUACCUAAUCAGAAAGCCACGGCUAACUACGUG